GCAUUUUCAGUGACAGAGAACCAGAAUAAGAUUUGUAGGGAAACAAGCCUUGUUACAAGGUUUGAGGGUCUCUGCUAGAAUCAUGUGGACCCCAGUGUAACAAAUCUAUGGAAAGAGAGAAAAUCUCAGCUCAAGGGUCAACAUGUCUUUAUUCCAAGAAAGAGUGUACAUAUGCCAGAAUCAUAUGGACCGCAGACUGGCCCUGGUGAUUCCGUUAAGAAAAAAGAGGAAAA
Molecule: long non-coding RNA, 233 nt
Organism: Saccostrea echinata
Lineage: Eukaryota; Metazoa; Mollusca; Bivalvia; Ostreida; Ostreidae
Exons: 3
Source: RefSeq, a predicted model, not a curated record